Molecule: small RNA, 30 nt
Filed under: Arabidopsis thaliana (thale cress)
Lineage: Eukaryota; Viridiplantae; Streptophyta; Magnoliopsida; Brassicales; Brassicaceae
Description: ATSL139080
Source: RNAcentral
AUUUUCUAUAUAGUUUUUGUUUGUUUUUUG